This 898-nucleotide ribosomal RNA is filed under the name uncultured bacterium. RNAcentral's name for it is "bacterial SSU rRNA". It matches the Rfam family "Bacterial small subunit ribosomal RNA", at positions 28 to 896 of the family's 1533-position model. The record is from RNAcentral.
GACGAACGCUGGCGGCGUGCCUAAUACAUGCAAGUCGAACGCUUCUUUUCCACCGAGUGCUUGCACUCAUCGGGAAAGAGGAGUGGCGGACGGGUGAGUAACACGUGGGUAACCUGCCCAUCAGAAGGGGAUAACACUUGGAAACAGGUGCUAAUACCGUAUAACAAUCGGAACCGCAUGGUUCUGAUUUGAAAGGCGCUUUCGGGUGUCGCUGAUGGAUGGACCCGCGGUGCAUUAGCUAGUUGGUGAGGUAACGGCUCACCAAGGCAACGAUGCAUAGCCGACCUGAGAGGGUGAUCGGCCACACUGGGACUGAGACACGGCCCAGACUCCUACGGGAGGCAGCAGUAGGGAAUCUUCGGCAAUGGACGAAAGUCUGACCGAGCAACGCCGCGUGAGUGAAGAAGGUUUUCGGAUCGUAAAACUCUGUUGUUAGAGAAGAACAAGGAUGAGAGUAACUGUUCAUCCCUUGACGGUAUCUAACCAGAAAGCCACGGCUAACUACGUGCCAGCAGCCGCGGUAAUACGUAGGUGGCAAGCGUUGUCCGGAUUUAUUGGGCGUAAAGCGAGCGCAGGCGGUUUCUUAAGUCUGAUGUGAAAGCCCCCGGCUCAACCGGGGAGGGUCAUUGGAAACUGGGAGACUUGAGUGCAGAAGAGGAGAGUGGAAUUCCAUGUGUAGCGGUGAAAUGCGUAGAUAUAUGGAGGAACACCAGUGGCGAAGGCGGCUCUCUGGUCUGUAACUGACGCUCAGGCUCGAAAGCGUGGGGAGCAAACAGGAUUAGAUACCCUGGUAGUCCACGCCGUAAACGAUGAGUGCUAAGUGUUGGAGGGUUUCCGCCCUUCAGUGCUGCAGCAAACGCAUUAAGCACUCCGCCUGGGGAGUACGACCGCAAGGUUG